Molecule: long non-coding RNA, 1040 nt
Organism: Panthera uncia (snow leopard)
Lineage: Eukaryota; Metazoa; Chordata; Mammalia; Carnivora; Felidae
Exons: 7
Source: RefSeq, a predicted model, not a curated record
CUGGGUGGGUGAGAUGUUGGGGCUAGUGGCAGGGGCCGCUGAUGGACACUCCAUGCUUCCACAGGAUCAGGUCCAGAGGAGGGUUGCUGCAAAGAGCAUCCUGGAGCCACUGAAAAGUCCCAGAAACCAUGACUUAACCAGUAGUAAUGAGCCCUCCGUCUCCUGGAUUGUGGUCCUGAAUAUUACUGAAAAGAAGCCAGGCUCUUUGGAGAAAUGGAUGAUACCAGAUGUGGGGCAGAAAAUGUACAAGAAAAGAUGAAUCUAGGCAAUAUUAUCGGUGACUGCUAAUAGCACAAGAGGGACAACCAGACAUUGUGUGCUCCGGAUGGAAGUAUACAGCACCACCGAUGAAGUGUUCUUGCAAAGAGUUCCAGCCUGAAUCUGAUCAAGCUUCUAGAUCUAAAUACCAGUUGUUGGGGACAAGAUGAUAUUGGGGGAAGUGUGAAGUGCUUUGAAGGCUGCCAACAAAAUGCCAAGUCAGCCCACUGACAGAAAAAGGAAGAGAAACCUUUGGAAAAUACAUUAUUGUUUCGCAUUGGCUUACUUUCCAUCUGAAUCUGAGCACCUGACCUGAGGAAGGAGAGUGAACAUAGAAUGGCGAAUUUGUUCUAGGACAGUGAGUGAUCUGAGAGUGUUGGGAAGAGGGAGCCAUGCCGUGUAGACCAGAAAGCAGGGCAAUGGAGGAAUGGAUCCAAAUUUCUUGGCUUCUUGUUGCUGAUACAAUAGAGAAUAAAGAAGUGUAUGUAUUAGAUACAGAAAAAAACAUUUGAGAAAAUACAACAACAUGUGAUGAAAACUCUCAGGAAACCAGGGAUAAAUGGAAUUUCCUCAACCUGACAGAGCAUUUAUGAAAGACCUGCAGUUAACAUCAUAUUUACUGGUGAAAGAUUGAAUAAUUUCCCUCUAGGUUGGGAAAUAAGGGAAAGCAUGACCACUUUCACCACAUCUAUUUGACAUUGUACUGGAAGUCAUAGCCAGUGCAAUAAGACAGGAAAAAGAAGUAACAGAUAACAUAUAUUGGGAAAGAAAUAAACUGUAUU